Molecule: long non-coding RNA, 776 nt
Organism: Puntigrus tetrazona (Sumatra barb)
Lineage: Eukaryota; Metazoa; Chordata; Actinopteri; Cypriniformes; Cyprinidae
Exons: 3
Source: RefSeq, a predicted model, not a curated record
ACCACCUCCACCUGAGGAGAGGAAGAGAAAAGAGGAAAGAGCGACGGAACUUGUGGGAGAAAUGAGUGCAUCUCCUCAUGAAUCACCAGAAGAAGAGAGAGCAUCAGGAGCAGCAGCCAGACCGGACGGAAGCACAGCCUCCUCAUCAGAGACGCCGCAACAGACGGAGGAGCAACUGAAGAUGAAGACCGAAGUCGUGAAUCCUGAGCGACGUAACAGCAAAGAAAAACCUCCUAACAUGCCUGAAAGUGAGCCCAGAUCUCCAGCUUCUCCCUGAACAGACCACACAGUAUUUCCAGCGAAGGUCGAGUGCGAAUGAUCCUUAUGAUAUGAUAUGUAUUAUGCAUUAUGAUAUUAUGAUAUGUAGCUUUACUGAUGCAUUAUUAUUUAUUUAUUUUAUCAUUGUUUUCUUGCUUGACAAAAUACAAAGGUUUACGAUAGAUACAACAACAAAAGAUUUUUGCUAGCGGAUUUUUUCACAUGCCAGAUUUAAUUCUCGAUGCACGAAAGAGUGUUUCCUGUCUAACAGAGAUAAAGUGGUGCUUUAUUAAUUGUUUACAGAUUUUAGUGUUUUUUUACACUGUUUUAAUGUUAAUGUAUAGCUGUGUUUUGACGUUUGAUGCUUCUUCUGCUUUGCUUUACUUUCUCUACUUUCACUCUGCAAACACUGCCUUUUUAUGCGUACCAAAAAAAUAUACAAAAGCUGUCAUACUCUUAAUAAAUACGAAUAUGCAUUACUUAAAUACCUAUUUUAACUUAACUUAACCCUCCUGUUG